This 408-nucleotide ribosomal RNA is filed under the name uncultured bacterium. Its description in RNAcentral is "partial 16S ribosomal RNA". It matches the Rfam family "Bacterial small subunit ribosomal RNA", at positions 28 to 526 of the family's 1533-position model. The record is from RNAcentral.
GACGAACGCUGGCGGCGUGCUUAACACAUGCAAGUCGAACGGAGUGGCGAACGGGUGAGUAACACGUGGGUGAUCUGCCUUGCACUUCGGGAUAAGCUUGGGAAACUGGGUCUAAUACCGGAUAGUGCAAGAUGAGCUCGCGGCCUAUCAGCUGGUUGGUGGGGUAAUGGCCUACCAAGGCGUCGACGGGUAGCCGGCCUGAGAGGGUGUACGGCGACAUAGGGACUGAGGGACGGCCCAGACUGCUACGGGAGGCAGAAGUGGGGAAGAUUGCACAAUGGGCGGAAGCCUGAUGAAGAGACGUCGCGGGGGGGAUGAAGGUCUUCGGGGUGGAAACUCCUUUCGACAGGGACGCGGUACCUGUAUAAGAAGCACCGGCUAACUACGUGCCAGCAGCCGCGGUAAUAC